CUUUGCCUGGUGUGUACACCAGCAUCUCACAGUAUCAGCAAUGGAUUACAGACACUAUCACGAACCAUCCAAGCCAGAACCUCCCAACAUUUGUCACCUUAAGAAUCACACCAUGAGGUGUGUGGCAGCUCUGAAGACUCUUCUAGAAUUCGUGAACACUCAGGAAUGUCAUUAACCACUUCCACUGCAAACUCUUCAUCACAGAACCGCUCCACAAACUCAAUGUUUAAGAGUACCCUUCUCUCACUCUUCAUUUUGCAUAAUACUUCCUAAUAUCAAGCAAAUAUCUUUCACAUAAAUGUGUCUUUAAAUCAACUCAAAAUGACUUCAAUGUGAAAUUCCGUUUUUUUUCUGUCAAAUGGCAAUUUGACAUUAAUUUGAGUUAAAACCUGUUUAUCAUGAAAUAAAUUCUUUGAGCAUCUCAUGUACAA
Long non-coding RNA from Triplophysa rosa, 431 nucleotides. RefSeq lists it as uncharacterized. The record is from RefSeq and is a predicted model, not a curated record. Lineage: Eukaryota; Metazoa; Chordata; Actinopteri; Cypriniformes; Nemacheilidae. The transcript has 2 exons.